RNAcentral lists this ribosomal RNA (468 nucleotides) under uncultured bacterium. Its description in RNAcentral is "partial 16S ribosomal RNA". It matches the Rfam family "Bacterial small subunit ribosomal RNA", at positions 28 to 507 of the family's 1533-position model. The record is from RNAcentral.
GACGAACGCUGGCGGCGUGCUUAACACAUGCAAGUCGAACGGAAAGGCCCUGCUUUUGUGGGGUGCUCGAGUGGCGAACGGGUGAGUAACACGUGAGUAACCUGCCCUUGACUUUGGGAUAACUUCAGGAAACUGGGGCUAAUACCGGAUAGGAGCUCCUGCUGCAUGGUGGGGGUUGGAAAGUUUCGGCGGUUGGGGAUGGACUCGCGGUUUAUCAGCUUGUGGGUGGGGUAGUGGCUUACCAAGGCUUUGACGGGUAGCCGGCCUGAGAGGGUGACCGGCCACAUUGGGACUGAGAUACGGCCCAGACUCCUACGGGAGGCAGCAGUGGGGAAUAUUGCACAAUGGGCGGAAGCCUGAUGCAGCAACGCCGCGUGCGGGAUGACGGCCUUCGGGUUGUAAACCGCUUUCGCCUGUGACGAAGCGUGAGUGACGGUAAUGGGUAAAGAAGCACCGGCUAACUACGUG